RNAcentral lists this ribosomal RNA (437 nucleotides) under uncultured bacterium. RNAcentral describes it as "bacterial SSU rRNA". It matches the Rfam family "Bacterial small subunit ribosomal RNA", at positions 376 to 803 of the family's 1533-position model. The record is from RNAcentral.
CGAAAGGGUGACGAAGCGACGCCGCGUGUGGGAAGAAGGCCUUCGGGUUGUAAACCACUGUCAGGAGUUAAGAAGUGUAGGGGAGCUAAUAGUGUCAUUACUUGACUAAGGCUCCAGAGGAAGCCACGGCUAACUCUGUGCCAGCAGCCGCGGUAAUACAGAGGUGGCAAGCGUUGUUCGGAAUUAUUGGGCGUAAAGAGCACGUAGGCGGUUCUGCAAGUCGGCUGUGAAAGCCUUCCGCUCAACGGAAGAACAGCAGUUGAUACUACAGGACUAGAGUGCGGGAGGGGAGAGUGGAACUUCUGGUGGAGCGGUGAAAUGCGUAGAUAUCAGAAGGAACGCCGGCGGCGAAAGCGACUCUCUGGCCCGUAACUGACGCUGAGUGUGCGAAAGCUAGGGGAGCAAACGGGAUUAGAUACCCCGGUAGUCCUAGCCGU